RNAcentral lists this unclassified non-coding RNA (336 nucleotides) under soil metagenome. RNAcentral's name for it is "partial contains 5.8S ribosomal RNA, internal transcribed spacer 2, and large subunit ribosomal RNA". The stretch from base 1 to 120 matches the Rfam family "5.8S ribosomal RNA", at positions 35 to 154 of the family's 154-position model. The record is from RNAcentral.
GAUGAAUAACGUAGCGAAAUGCGAUAAGUAAUGUGAAUUGCAGAAUUCAGUGAAUCAUCGAAUCUUUGAACGCACAUUGCGCCCCUUGGUAUUCCGGGGGGCAUGCCUGUUCGAGCGUCAUUUCAACCCUCAAGCUCUGCUUGGUAUUGGGCUCCGUCCUCCUCGGACGCGCCUCAAAGACCUCGGCGGUGGCGUCUUGCCUCAAGCGUAGUAGAAACACCUCGCUUUGGAGUGCAUGGCGUCGCCCGCCGGACGAAACCUUUUGUAUUUUCUCAAGGUUGACCUCGGAUCAGGUAGGGAUACCCGCUGAACUUAAGCAUAUCAAUAAGCGGAGGA